RNAcentral lists this ribosomal RNA (669 nucleotides) under Rhyzobius chrysomeloides. RNAcentral's name for it is "SSU rRNA". It matches the Rfam family "Eukaryotic small subunit ribosomal RNA", at positions 510 to 1141 of the family's 1831-position model. RNAcentral also lists the same sequence under 1 other name. The record is from RNAcentral. Lineage: Eukaryota; Metazoa; Arthropoda; Insecta; Coleoptera; Coccinellidae.
CGGAAUGAGUACACUCUAAACCCUUUAACGAGGAUCAAUUGGAGGGCAAGUCUGGUGCCAGCAGCCGCGGUAAUUCCAGCUCCAAUAGCGUAUAUUAAAGUUGUUGCGGUUAAAAAGCUCGUAGUCGAAUUUGUGUCUCGCGCCGACGGUUCAUCGUUCGCGGUGUUAACUGGCGUGCCGCGAGACGUCCUGCCGGCGGGCUUAGCUCGCAAGAGCGGCCCAAUUCAAUCCCGCCGCGGUGCUCUUCAUUGAGUGUCGAGGUGGGCCGGCACGUUUACUUUGAACAAAUUAGAGUGCUUAAAGCAGGCUAAAAUUUCGUCUGAAUACUGUGUGCAUGGAAUAAUGAAACAGGACCUCGGUUCUAUUUUGUUGGUUUUCGGAACCCCGAGGUAAUGAUCAACAGGAACGGAUGGGGGCAUUCGUAUUGCGACGUUAGAGGUGAAAUUCUUGGAUCGUCGCAAGACGGACAGAAGCGAAAGCAUUUGCCAAAAACGUUUUCAUUGAUCAAGAACGAAAGUUAGAGGUUCGAAGGCGAUCAGAUACCGCCCUAGUUCUAACUAUAAACGAUGCCAGCUAGCGAUCCGCCGACGUUCCUCCGAUGACUCGGCGGGCAGCUUCCGGGAAACCAAAGCUUUUGGGUUCCGGGGGAAGUAUGGUUGCAAAGCUGAA